AGUGAACGCUGGCGGUAGGCCUAACACAUGCAAGUCGAACGGCAGCACAGUAAGAGCUUGCUCUUACGGGUGGCGAGUGGCGGACGGGUGAGGAAUACAUCGGAACCUACUUUUUCGUGGGGGAUAACGUAGGGAAACUUACGCUAAUACCGCAUACGACCUACGGGUGAAAGCAGGGGAUCUUCGGACCUUGCGCGAUUGAAUGAGCCGAUGUCGGAUUAGCUAGUUGGCGGGGUAAAGGCCCACCAAGGCGACGAUCCGUAGCUGGUCUGAGAGGAUGAUCGGCCACACUGGAACUGAGACCCGCUCAAGACUCCAACGGGGGGCAGCAGUGGGGAAUAUUGGACAAUGGGCGAAAGCCUGAUCCAGCAAUACCGCGUGGGUGAAGAAGGCCUUCGGGUUGUAAAGCCCUUUUGUUGGGAAAGAAAAGCAGCAGGUUAAUACCCCGCUGUUCUGACGGUACCCAAAGAAUAAGCACCGGCUAACUUCGUG
Molecule: ribosomal RNA, 492 nt
Filed under: uncultured bacterium
Lineage: Bacteria
Description: partial 16S ribosomal RNA
Rfam family: Bacterial small subunit ribosomal RNA
Source: RNAcentral